CUGACAGAUGCACACCAUCUUUGAAUAAGAAAUCAAACAACUUUACAAGGAUUGAGUGCAGGCUCACAGCUGUGCAGACAUUCAAAUGAAUACAUUGCAGAAGAAGAAAUAGCGUUCCACCACAGAAUAUGGGAUAAUAACUACAGACCACGUAUAUUGAUCUUACACAAAGAUGAGCUUGAAGCCUACAGGUAAUGGAUGAGGACUUCAAAGCACCCAGCUGUAGCCCAAACUGAUCAGCAUAGGAAAAAGCAGGGAAUUACGUGAAAGUGUCAAUAUCCAGUGCUCAUAGGUCCUGAACUCAUAUUCAGCACCUAAUUUUAGGAUGGUAAAUUUGUCAGAGUGCUCUAAUUAAGGAGCAGAAGACACCAGUUCCAUGUACUUCUUUAAAAGACCCAGAACAAGAUCUCACGCAUCACUUACCCUCUUUACAUCAACAGAGCUUGGCAGGGGCUCAUAGAAAGUCUGACCUUGACUCUGGAGUGCUGAUUUUGGGGUGAUUUACUGGGGAAGAUAAAGGGGUCCCCUAGCAACCCACUGAAUGUGACAGAUGCUCCUGACAUGCUGGGGAAGAGCCGUGCCAUUCUGCAGUGCCCUUCUUCCCCCCCGCCCCCACUUUAAACUCAUCUGACCCCUUUCUGGUUCAAUUCUUUUACAUAUCCCUGUAUUUUAUUGUAGAAUCCGAGCGGCUACACCAACCACUCAAGCUUCACUGCCUGUCUAAUUAAAGUCUCUCCGUCAACUGGUAAUUCUGUAAUAAUUCACAGAUGGUUUUGCUCUCUAUUAAACCUGUUAUGUUCCCUGGCUGAAAAAGGCUGUGACGUCUUAAAAAGUAUCGACAGCUAUUAAUUUGUUUGCAUUUAAAAUCCAGUAUGUGGCUGCAAAGGCCUGUUACAGUAUCACAGAGGAAGAUAAAUGUCAGUGCAUAAUCUGCUAG
RNAcentral lists this long non-coding RNA (937 nucleotides) under Pavo cristatus (Indian peafowl). RNAcentral's name for it is "lncRNA (ENSPSTG00000016116.1)". The record is from RNAcentral. Lineage: Eukaryota; Metazoa; Chordata; Aves; Galliformes; Phasianidae.